Cornus florida is the source of this 3045-nucleotide long non-coding RNA. RefSeq lists it as uncharacterized. NCBI's taxonomy places the organism in Eukaryota, Viridiplantae, Streptophyta, Magnoliopsida, Cornales, Cornaceae. The record is from RefSeq and is a predicted model, not a curated record. The transcript is spliced from 3 exons.
UAUGCGCAUGUGUUUAGGUUCGGCAUAAAUAAAUCAUUUUCCAAUAUAUUUUCUUAACGACCAUUACAACGUUCAAUGUGCCACAAGUAACUUUGAAGCACUCACAUGGACAAGAACAUUCAACAACUUAAGAAGUUCUUGUUAAGUUCCUAUAUGUACGUUUUUUUUUUCUUUUUCUUUUCUUUUUCCCUUUUUUUUUUUUUUUUUUUUUUUUUUUUUUUUAACAUGGUCGCUUUUACAAAAAUUGUCAUCCAUUUAAUUUUCCGGAAGAAAAAUCAAAGCCGAUUAAAGACUUUCGACCAUAUAUCCUGUCACGUUCCUAAUCUCCUCCUCUCUCCACUCUGUUAUGAGCUUUAUAUCAAAUAUAAUCACAUCCUUACUGAGUUAUUGUAAUAUAUAUAUAUAUAUAGUUUGGUCGUGAAGAAACUUUUAGAUCGAAUACAACUUUCUAAGGACGUUUGAAAGGUGUUUGGCCAACGAUCACGGGCAGGAGGAAAACAAUAACGACGUACUGCUCUGCUGCUCAGAACAUUCACCUGAUUGUUAGUUGGUAUGUGGCUUAUUAUUUGAGCCUAACGAGUUGGUUGCUCUUUGUUAACUCAGGUACUUGACUACAAGAAAGGCAAACUUUGGAACUUGAAGCAAUCAUUGGAGCUUAAAGCUAACAUUAAAAUUUGAAGUUGCUUAAGGACCUUUGUUGUUGAUUCCAAGUUUGGGGGUGCACUCUUUCCCAAUGGAUCACUACCGGGCUCAAUGUCUUUGCCACCACGGUAUAUUCUUUCCAUCUUUUCCAUUAUUCUCAUUGCACAUUGAGGACAAUGUGUGGUUUAAGUUUGGGGGUAAGGGUCCUUGUUGCAUUCUACUUAAGUUUGAGACUUAAUUGCAUGAUUAAGAUUGAAGAUCCAUGUUAGAUAUUAUUUUGAUCAUUUGAGGACUAUAUUGCUUAAAAUUUAAAAAUUGCUUGACUUAAGAGUCUAAUACUCCUUAUAUGCCUUAUAGAUGCCAUUUAAGAGUAAAUUUUUUGAAAGAUUGAUAUCUUGUUUGCAUUUGUGAUCCACAUCAUCUUGAUUCUGUGAUUGUUUUGAGAUUCAUUCUAAGAUUCUACACUAGCACAGGCGCACACUAGCAUUCAUUUGUGGGGUACAUGCUUUGUUAAUUAUUGAUUUGGUUAUAUCCCAAUUGAGCUAGUAGUGUAUUGAAAGUUUUCAUUCUUGAUAAAGGUGGAUAACAACCCCUUUUCACUAAGUAGCCAGGAUUCUAGCCUCAUCAAACACUGAAUUUCUCGCACCGAAAGGUGGAGGGCCCAAACUCCAGGUUAAUAACUUGGUACGAAAAAAAAAAAAAAAAAAAAAAAUUGCAAAAGUAAAUAAAAAAGUGAGGACUUCUCCCAAAAGGUGAGAAGUGAAAAAUGAUUAGAUGGAGGUUGUUUUGAUUUAUAGCUUAGUUGAUUUGAGCUUGUAAGUCCUUAGGGGUGUUUAAACACCUAAUGCCCUAAAGCCGUCUGGUUUGGGAGUCAUUGACCUAACAUUCGACCUCAUGGAUCGCUAGAAAGCUUAAUAGAUCACUACAUUGCACCAUGCUUCCAUCUUUGAUCCUCUAGGUUAGUUAAAAAAAAUAAAAAAAUCGAGUGAAAAGAAAAAGUGCACCUAGAUAAAUAAAGCUUUAAUAAAAGGUCCACUUUUUGUUUUGAUGAUUGGGACUAGAUUUGUGUGCUAGUUUAAGGGUAAGGAUGUAAUCAUUUCUUUAGUUGGCUUAGCUAACAACAUAUUUGAUGCCGAUCCACUCAAAAAGGAUUCUAGUGUUGUUUUGAUUUGCAUGAUCAUUGUCUUGAUGUGUGGAGGACCAUAUUUAUUUGUUUGAUGUUAAGAUUUUGGGAGAUUGCUUGGAAAGGGUUGAAAAAUUGCAUACUUGAGGUAGUUUUCUCCCGAUGCUUAUUUUGUAUAUUGGUGCUUCUUUAGUGAGAAAGAGCUCAAUGUUUGUGGGUAUCAUUUCUGGAAACCCUCACGAGAUUUCAUUUGUCCACUAGGGGUAACCUAGGGGCUUAAAAGGCUUGUUGCAUGUGCUAAAUGUAAUCGUGUUCCCUACGAAAGUGGCGUUAUCCAUUUAUUACUUUCUAGUUCAUAGUUGUUCAGUUGUUCAUUUCAUUCCUUUACUUUGUAGUUCAUUGCUAGGGACUAACAAUAUUUAAGUUUGGGGGUGUGAUGAGCGCUGAAAAGUGUGCAUUUAAACCCCUUAAGCUUGAGUAUUUUAGACCUUAUUCUAUCUUAUUUUUCAUUUUAGUCUAAUUUCAUGUUUUUGUCUAUUUCAGGUCAAUAAUGUUAAAACUGGCUAAAAAUGGUUUCUUAAGGCCUUUUUGGAGUCAAACUAAGUCUUAGUGAGAAUUCGGAGCAAAAGGAGGCUGGUGCUAAAAAACUACCAAGUAAGAUCGAUCGGAGAAAAGUGAGAUCGAUCGGAGAAAAGUGAGAUCGAUCGUAGAAAAGUGAGAUCGAUUGGAGAAAAGUCAAAUCGAUCGGAAAAAAGAGAGAUCAAUUGAACUCUGAUCGAUCGAAGAUAUUUUGGAUCGAUCAAAAAUGUGCUGGCAGUGAGUUGUCUUAUUGCCACGCGCCCGAACUCCACCUACCAUAUAGUUACAGUAUUAGAUAUUUUUAGGCUGUAUUUCUGACUUAGUGACUAAGAAAAGGACCUUGUAUUUAAAGGGAAUUGAACCAUUUUAUAAGAGAGCUUUUUAUCAUUUUAUUUUACAUUGUAAUUUUUAUUUUCUCUCUCUAGAAAAGUUAGAGAUUAAGGUUAGAAGAAAAGAGAAGAGUGGAUGCUUCAAGAACACAUCUCAAGAUCUGCAAUCUCUCUCUAGAAUUCAACAAAGAAGAAGAGGAAGAAGAUGGAGCCAUGUUUGGGGAUUGCCCUUGAGGGUCCUCCAUGAUUGGCUCGACUUCUCCUUGGGGCUUGGAUGAGCCCCAAGUUUGUAAUCUAAACCUCUAUCUUUUUCAUACUUUUUGGGGAAUAAUAUCUUGUGAUUAGUGUUUUAGCCUUGUGAAUUUAAUGAAU